RNAcentral lists this ribosomal RNA (465 nucleotides) under uncultured bacterium. Its description in RNAcentral is "partial 16S ribosomal RNA". It matches the Rfam family "Bacterial small subunit ribosomal RNA", at positions 28 to 507 of the family's 1533-position model. The record is from RNAcentral.
GACGGACGCUGGCGGCGUGCUUAACACAUGCAAGUCGAACGGAAAGGCCCCAGCUUGCUGGGGUACUCGAGUGGCGAACGGGUGAGUAACACGUGGGUGAUCUGCCCUGCACUCUGGGAUAAGCCUGGGAAACUGGGUCUAAUACCGGAUAGGACCGUGCUUUAGUGUGUGCGGUGGAAAGUUUUUCGGUGCAGGAUGAGCCCGCGGCCUAUCAGCUUGUUGGUGGGGUAAUGGCCUACCAAGGCGGCGACGGGUAGCCGGCCUGAGAGGGUGUACGGCCACAUUGGGACUGAGACACGGCCCAGACUCCUACGGGAGGCAGCAGUGGGGAAUAUUGCACAAUGGGCGCAAGCCUGAUGCAGCGACGCCGCGUGGGGGAUGACGGCCUUCGGGUUGUAAACCCCUUUCGGCAGGGACGAAGCUUUCGUGACGGUACCUGCAUAAGAAGCACCGGCUAACUACGUG